GCCGCGUUCGUCUAGUGGCCCAGGACGACACGUUCUCAACGUGUAGAUCAUCGGUUCGAAUCCGAUACGCGGUACAA
This 77-nucleotide transfer RNA is filed under the name Alphaproteobacteria bacterium GWB1_45_5. RNAcentral describes it as "tRNA-Glu". It matches the Rfam family "tRNA". From Rfam's summary of the family: Transfer RNA (tRNA) molecules are approximately 80 nucleotides in length. The record is from RNAcentral. Lineage: Bacteria; Pseudomonadati; Pseudomonadota; Alphaproteobacteria.